Molecule: ribosomal RNA, 202 nt
Filed under: Staphylococcus hyicus
Lineage: Bacteria; Bacillati; Bacillota; Bacilli; Caryophanales; Staphylococcaceae
Also listed under: 1 other name
Description: partial 16S ribosomal RNA
Rfam family: Bacterial small subunit ribosomal RNA
Source: RNAcentral
UUUAUGGAGAGUUUGAUCCUGGCUCAGGAUGAACGCUGGCGGCGUGCCUAAUACAUGCAAGUCGAGCGAACAGAUGAGGAGCUUGCUCCUUUGACGUUAGCGGCGGACGGGUGAGUAACACGUGGGUAACCUACCUAUAAGACUGGAAUAACUCCGGGAAACCGGGGCUAAUGCCGGAUAACAUGUUGAACCGCAUGGUUCA